CCUACGGGAGGCAGCAGUGAGGAAUAUUGGUCAAUGGACGAGAGUCUGAACCAGCCAAGUAGCGUGAAGGAUGACUGCCCUAUGGGUUGUAAACUUCUUUUAUAUGGGAAUAAAAUGUUCCACGUGUGGGAUUCUGUAUGUACCAUAUGAAUAAGGAUCGGCUAACUCCGUGCCAGCAGCCGCGGUAAUACGGAGGAUCCGAGCGUUAUCCGGAUUUAUUGGGUUUAAAGGGGGCGUAGGUGGAUUGUUAAGUCAGUUGUGAAAGUUUGCGGCUCAACCGUAAAAUUGCAGUUGAUACUGGCAGUCUUGAGUACAGUAGAGGUGGGCGGAAUUCGUGGUGUAGCGGUGAAAUGCUUAGAUAUCAUGAAGAACUCCGAUUGCGAAGGCAGCUCACUGGACUGCAACUGACACUGAGGCUCGAAAGUGUGGGUAUCAAACAGGAUUAGAUACCCGAGUAGUC
RNAcentral lists this ribosomal RNA (460 nucleotides) under uncultured bacterium. Its description in RNAcentral is "partial 16S ribosomal RNA". It matches the Rfam family "Bacterial small subunit ribosomal RNA", at positions 338 to 795 of the family's 1533-position model. The record is from RNAcentral.